Molecule: ribosomal RNA, 492 nt
Filed under: uncultured bacterium
Lineage: Bacteria
Description: partial 16S ribosomal RNA
Rfam family: Bacterial small subunit ribosomal RNA
Source: RNAcentral
AGUGAACGCUGGCGGUAGGCCUAACACAUGCAAGUCGAACGGCAGCACAGUAAGAGCUUGCUCUUACGGGUGGCGAGUGGCGGACGGGUGAGGAAUACAUCGGAAUCUACUUUUUCGUGGGGGAUAACGUAGGGAAACUUACGCUAAUACCGCAUACGACCUACGGGUGAAAGCAGGGGAUCUUCGGACCUUGCGCGAUUGAAUGAGCCGAUGUCGGAUUAGCUAGUUGGCGGGGUAAAGGCCCACCAAGGCGACGAUCCGUAGCUGGUCUGAGAGGAUGAUCAGCCACACUGGAACUGAGACACGGUCCAGACUCCUACGGGAGGCAGCAGUGGGGAAUAUUGGACAAUGGGCGCAAGCCUGAUCCAGCCAUACCGCGUGGGUGAAGAAGGCCUUCGGGUUUUAAAGCCCUUUUGUUGGGAAAGAAAAGCAGCAGGUUAAUACCCCGCUGUUCUGACGUUACCCAAAGAAUAAGCACCGGCUAACUUCGUG